Molecule: non-coding RNA, 121 nt
Organism: Picea glauca (white spruce)
Lineage: Eukaryota; Viridiplantae; Streptophyta; Pinopsida; Pinales; Pinaceae
Source: Rfam
ACAUGCCUACAACAUAGUGUUAAUGCACUGGAUUCCAAUAGACCUCUGUAGUUAAGCACACUCGGGCUAGAUUAGUAUUGGGAUGGGUGACCUCCCAGGAAGUCCUAGUAUUUUACAUGCC